Molecule: ribosomal RNA, 428 nt
Filed under: uncultured bacterium
Lineage: Bacteria
Description: partial 16S ribosomal RNA
Rfam family: Bacterial small subunit ribosomal RNA
Source: RNAcentral
GUGGGGAAUAUUGGGCAAUGGGCGCAAGCCUGACCCAGCAACGCCGCGUGAAGGAAGAAGGCUUUCGGGUUGUAAACUUCUUUUACCAGGGACGAAACAAAUGACGGUACCUGGUGAAUAAGCCACGGCUAACUACGUGCCAGCAGCCGCGGUAAUACGUAGGUGGCGAGCGUUAUCCGGAUUUAUUGGGUGUAAAGGGCGUGUAGGCGGGACAGCAAGUCAGAUGUGAAAACCAGAGGCUCAACCUCUGGCCUGCAUUUGAAACUGUUGUUCUUGAGUGUCGGAGAGGUAAUCGGAAUUCCGUGUGUAGCGGUGAAAUGCGUAGAUAUACGGAGGAACACCAGUGGCGAAGGCGGAUUACUGGACGAUAACUGACGCUGAGGCGCGAAAGCGUGGGGAGCAAACAGGAUUAGAUACCCUAGUAGUCC